This 489-nucleotide long non-coding RNA is filed under the name Homo sapiens (human). Its description in RNAcentral is "HSALNT0142013". Lineage: Eukaryota; Metazoa; Chordata; Mammalia; Primates; Hominidae. The record is from RNAcentral.
AGAGUAUCAUGGUUACAGCUGGAUCACCUAAGGCAGAGAGGGAAGGAACCAACAGGUAUAUGAAGAAGACUGUAUUUCCUCCUCAGGAAGAAAAAAUCACCUAUAAGAUCCAUGGCUAUAACUGCUACCAAGCUCUGGGCUGCAGUAGUGUAUCAUCCAUAACGCAAAUAAGGUGCCUAAACCCUAUAUUGAAGGCUACAGAGAGGACUACAUUGAGACUUGGCAAAGUCCUAUAGAAGUUUUGUUUUCUUAUGGUAAACUAAUACAACAUAUAGCAUUGAUACAAAGGAUGCACUAAAGGAUGGACACAAAUGAAAGAACUGAGACAUGAAUUUGUUCUUAAGAAAAUUAUUCUCCAUUCUUUGAGAAGUCAACUGAAUAGGAUGAAGAAACUGCUCUAUGUUAUCAAGUUUUUAAAUUUUGUAUUUACUUAUUUACUUUUGUUGUUACUUAAAUCAACUUUAAAAUAAAAUAAAAUUUAUAUUUGAG